CAAUUCUUCAUUAGGAGGAAUGAAGAGCUGAACCAUAACCACUCAGCCCCCUCACAGCAUCCAAACAGAGCUUGUAAAGCGGGGCCAGGCCUCUGCCACCCUUGCCUCCGUCCUCCAGCCCCUGUGCUCAGCAAACCGAGAGCCAAGGACAUGUACCCUCUCCAGGGUUGUCAACCGACCAGUGACAGGAAGCAGGUCUAAAGGCUCAUUUAACUGCAAAACAGCACCUGUCUUUUUAGGCGAGAGCAGGCUUUGCUUGUCAGCCCUGUCAGCAGCAGGGGCCCUGCCUGGAGGCACCCGAUUGUGUCAGAGGGGUCACACUGAGCACUGCGACACGCAGCACUGGCUGGCAUGGGGGCAGGAGGCUGUCGGCACGUUUUCUCUGCAAGGACAGCGGGUGACUGUUCCUAUUAAAAUAACCAUGUUCAGAAGAAGAGUCUGA
RNAcentral lists this long non-coding RNA (442 nucleotides) under Cairina moschata (Muscovy duck). RNAcentral's name for it is "domestica (muscovy Duck (domestic type)) lncRNA (ENSCMMG00000017159.1)". The record is from RNAcentral. Lineage: Eukaryota; Metazoa; Chordata; Aves; Anseriformes; Anatidae.